CAGUAUAAAAGGCAAAUCCGUUGAAAAGCGGGGACGCAAAGCUAUGGGUCUAAGGCGGAAUGCCGCUAUGACAGCCGGUUGCCAAA
This 86-nucleotide non-coding RNA is filed under the name Dethiobacter alkaliphilus. RNAcentral describes it as "c-di-GMP sequence". It matches the Rfam family "c-di-GMP-I riboswitch aptamer". Rfam says of the family: GEMM was predicted in a large-scale screen for bacterial structured RNA regulatory elements. Genes associated with GEMM are involved in a diverse array of functions, including chemotaxis regulation, signal transduction, secretion and chitin. The record is from RNAcentral. Lineage: Bacteria; Bacillati; Bacillota; Dethiobacteria; Dethiobacterales; Dethiobacteraceae. RNAcentral also lists the same sequence under 1 other name.